Long non-coding RNA from Cynoglossus semilaevis (tongue sole), 361 nucleotides. RefSeq lists it as uncharacterized. The record is from RefSeq and is a predicted model, not a curated record. NCBI's taxonomy places the organism in Eukaryota, Metazoa, Chordata, Actinopteri, Pleuronectiformes, Cynoglossidae. The transcript has 3 exons.
GUAUUGCCAACAAGGUUUUCCAUGAGAUUUUGUUUGAUACAUGUUUGGACUUGAGCUCUCAUUGUUGGCCUGAGAACUCAGGAAAAAAACGUAAAAAAGACGGCUCAAAGAGUUCUAAAGCAGAUGGCAAACGCUCCAGACCUCAGAGGAAAGACCUUACAGAUAUGGAAGAGGAAGGCGAGGAAGAAGAAGAGGAGAUUCAUCUCUCUGGCUCAGACCUGAUGAAGAUCAGAGACGCCUUAUUUCUUUUGCUUCAAAGUCUCCUCAAACUCCUGCAGACACUUUCACUCAAAGACAGACCGCAGAGCCUCAGUAACUGUACACGGAUUUUAAGUAAUUUGCUGUACUUUGAGCCUGUCAU